Molecule: non-coding RNA, 31 nt
Filed under: Mus musculus (house mouse)
Lineage: Eukaryota; Metazoa; Chordata; Mammalia; Rodentia; Muridae
Source: RNAcentral
UGCCUGGUCCUUCUAGACUAAGUAGGACAUC